ACACUCUCUGACUAUAUUGGAACUGGUAACGAUUACUCUCUUUUGAAUUGUGUCGCUACGCUUUUUAUAAUGACAUCCCCAAUGGGAUGACAGUCACGUGACAGUUCAUUCCGGCGGGAAUCGCAAUGCUGCAGGUUUUUAGAGUUUCCAUGAGAGAACGUGGAUUUUGAUGAUUACAGGUUAUGUUGAGUCAUGAACACAAAAGCGUCCGCGCCUGUGCGAACUGUCGCAAGAGGAGGAAGAUAUGUGAAUGGUACCAGAUGACGUGAUCGACGUGCGUGUGUGAAUAUGUGCAAAGGAUGAUGCUGAAGGGGCGGUUUUCCAUCCAAAUAGGCACAGUGGUUAUUAGUUGUGUAACUCCAGUUUCUGAUCUAUGGAAAGUGGUGAAACGUCUUCACGAAAUACAAUUUCAUUCGUUUUCCUCCCUUGCAUUGGCACGCUGUGAGUAGUGUCGACUUCCAAAUGAG
RNAcentral lists this unclassified non-coding RNA (467 nucleotides) under Bombus terrestris (buff-tailed bumblebee). RNAcentral describes it as "misc RNA ENSBTSG00005035310.1". The record is from RNAcentral. Lineage: Eukaryota; Metazoa; Arthropoda; Insecta; Hymenoptera; Apidae.